RNAcentral lists this small RNA (418 nucleotides) under Histoplasma capsulatum. RNAcentral's name for it is "hypothetical RNA". RNAcentral also lists the same sequence under 1 other name. Lineage: Eukaryota; Fungi; Ascomycota; Eurotiomycetes; Onygenales; Ajellomycetaceae. The record is from RNAcentral.
CUCGAAUAGCGAUUUCAUAUUGAUUUUUCUCAUUCCUGGUCGUAAACAAACCACGCGCAUAGGUUGGCAAGUCAUCCCGCUUGUAAUCCCAAUCCUGGAACCUCCACGAGUCCACACUGAUAUCUGAUCCCGAAACAGGAAAGGUGCUCUUCUUGCAGGAAAAUGUCUUUUUCCCCAGCUGUUUCUUCUUACCGCUUGCAGCCUCUAAGCUAUGAACAAGCCGAGUAACCUCGUGGACAUCUUGUUGAACCAUGAUUUUGACGUAUGAAAUGAAUAUUUGAACGAGUGAGAUAUCAGGCUGUCCAACAUGCGGGGUAGGGGAACGACGUGUCGAGUUCAAAAGCAAAGUACUAUGCGGGGUCGCUACUCUAGUUGCUGGAGAAGAUCUAUGAAACAAUUUAUUCAAAAUCCACAGGGC